UAAUUUGUAUGGGGCAUAUUCUCAUUUAAUUAUAACAGACUUAUACCUAAUUGCUCAGAACAAUUUGUUAUCACAAACCUGAUUACUUCGAUAAUUUUGUUCAAUUUAUUUUUCUUAAUU
Non-coding RNA from Populus trichocarpa (black cottonwood), 120 nucleotides. NCBI's taxonomy places the organism in Eukaryota, Viridiplantae, Streptophyta, Magnoliopsida, Malpighiales, Salicaceae. The record is from Rfam.